This 967-nucleotide unclassified non-coding RNA is filed under the name Leishmania donovani. RNAcentral's name for it is "gene:LdHU3.27.2200(CDS-product:DNA-directed_RNA_p olymerase_II-like_protein)". The record is from RNAcentral. Lineage: Eukaryota; Euglenozoa; Kinetoplastea; Trypanosomatida; Trypanosomatidae.
CGGCAGCCGACGUGCACGUCGCUACUCUCUCGUUUCCCUUUCCUCUCCCACCCACGCGCUGAGGGGCAGCUCGCUUUCAUCUGUUGUACUCCAUAUACAAACAUACACUAUAUAUAUAUAUAUAUAUAUGCGCUGCUUGCGCGAGCCGCAACAAGAAAAUGGCGGUCCCUCAUGGCAUGCUGAUUUCUCGCAACGACAUCACCCCAGACAGUCUAGUGGACUUGCCGGGAGAUCGUAAGAUUGUGGAGCAGAUCUCCAACACGAUGGCUAACUCCUCCCUGUUUAAGAUGGAGAAGGAGGACCACACACUGGCGAACCUGCUGCGCAUGAAGCUGCACGAGUCGCCAUUUGUGCAGAUUGCGGGCUACCGAGUACCGCAUCCAACAAAGCAUAACGUGGAGCUGCGCGUGCAAACGGCGUCGAACGGGACGGACGCGCCAGUCCCUGCCCCGAAAAAGGCGCUGCAAGACGCGAUCGACGGCUGCUUGAAGGAUUUAGAGGUGUUUGAGGAGCAGCUGCGGCGCGAGGCACAGCUGAAGGGUCUCGAGGCGUCCCCAUCAUGAGCAGAUGGGAAUAAAAGAGUAAACGUGUGCCCCGGGGACAGGAUCGCUGCGAGGUGUGGAUACACGCUCAUGUCUGUCAGCGUGCGCUGGCCCCUCGACAUCCGGACCAUCCGUCGGCGUCUUUUUCUAUGUUGACUGCGUGUAUAGGGAAGUGGUUUGCAGAUGCGCUCGCGCCAUCAACGCUUCUGUGUCUUGUCAAACGUGUGGUUUGUGAUGCGGCUCGAUCUUUGCUGGGCCACAGGUAUGCGUGUCUGUGCCCACCUGUGUGUGGGCCUAGUUUUCCGUUAGCCUCCUCUCCCUCUCCCGGCGCGCGGGCUUUCCCUUCUAAAGCUGCGUGAAGGGAUCGGCUUGUAGAGAGGGCCGCACCAGCUGCCACGCAUGCGCAUCUGCCACAACGUACAAAC